AUUGAACGCUGGCGGCAUGCCUUACACAUGCAAGUCGAACGGUAACGGGCCUUCGGGUGCCGACGAGUGGCGAACGGGUGAGUAAUACAUCGGAACGUGCCCGAUCGUGGGGGAUAACGGGGCGAAAGCUUUGCUAAUACCGCAUACGAUCUACGGAUGAAAGCAGGGGACGGCAAGGCCUUGCGCGGACGGAGCGGCCGAUGGCAGAUUAGGUAGUUGGUGGGAUAAAAGCUUACCAAGCCGACGAUCUGUAGCUGGUCUGAGAGGAUGAUCAGCCACACUGGGACUGAGACACGGCCCAGACUCCUACGGGAGGCAGCAGUGGGGAAUUUUGGACAAUGGGCGCAAGCCUGAUCCAGCCAUGCCGCGUGCAGGAUGAAGGCCUUCGGGUUGUAAACUGCUUUUGUACGGAACGAAAAGCCUUCUUUUAAUACAGGAGGGUCAUGACGGUACCGUAAGAAUAAGCACCGGCUAACUACGUG
This 482-nucleotide ribosomal RNA is filed under the name uncultured bacterium. RNAcentral's name for it is "partial 16S ribosomal RNA". It matches the Rfam family "Bacterial small subunit ribosomal RNA", at positions 30 to 507 of the family's 1533-position model. The record is from RNAcentral.